CUGCGAGUGAAGCGGCAAAAGCUCAAAUUUGAAAUCUGGCGUCUUUUUCNNNNNNCCGAGUUGUAAUUUGGAGGAGCGUCUUCGGAGGCUGGACGUCGUUCUAAGUUCUUUUGGAACUGGACAUCAUAGAGGGUGAGAAUCCCGUGCCUGAGCGGUCGUCUGGUUUUCAUAUGAAGUGCUUCCAACGAGUCGAGUUGUUUGGGAAUGCAGCUCAAAAUGGGUGGUAAAUUUCAUCUAAAGCUAAAUACUGGCGAGAGACCGAUAGCGCACAAGUAGAGUGAUCGAAAGAUGAAAAGCACUUUGAAAAGAGAGUUAAACAGUACGUGAAAUUGUUGAAAGGGAAGCGCUUGAGAUCAAUCUUGGUGUUGGUGUGACUCCUAAUCCUGGGCUCUUGCAGCUCUGGCGUGGAAAAGUUACAUCAGGCCAGGCUAGCAUCGGUUUUGAUGGAGGGAAAAAAUGGUUAGGGAAUGUAGCUCUUGCUCGCAAGAGUGUUAUAGCCCAAGCCUUUGAUACCGCCAGUUGGGACCGAGGACUGCGCCUGUUCUGCAGGUUAGGAUGCUGGCAUAAUGGUCUUCAGCGACCCG
RNAcentral lists this ribosomal RNA (584 nucleotides) under Lamprospora sp. Its description in RNAcentral is "partial large subunit ribosomal RNA". It matches the Rfam family "Eukaryotic large subunit ribosomal RNA", at positions 87 to 651 of the family's 3401-position model. Lineage: Eukaryota; Fungi; Ascomycota; Pezizomycetes; Pezizales; Pyronemataceae. The record is from RNAcentral.